RNAcentral lists this ribosomal RNA (23 nucleotides) under Apophysomyces variabilis. Its description in RNAcentral is "partial 18S ribosomal RNA". Lineage: Eukaryota; Fungi; Mucoromycota; Mucoromycetes; Mucorales; Mucoraceae. The record is from RNAcentral.
UGCGGAAGGAUCAUUAAUGGCUA